Molecule: long non-coding RNA, 2380 nt
Organism: Bos taurus (domestic cattle)
Lineage: Eukaryota; Metazoa; Chordata; Mammalia; Artiodactyla; Bovidae
Source: Ensembl
AGAGAGCUUGCUCCUUUUUUAAAGCAGAUUUGAUGGAGGCGGGAUCCCUGUCUGUUCCUUCCUCUGGGCUGAGCUGGGGGCUCCAGGUCUCUACGAGACAUCCAGCUGCUGGUGUCAAUGCCUGCCCUGCCUUACCGACCACACUGGACUUGUUGUCCGGGUCACACAGCUCCCUGAUCAGACCUUCCCUCAGCAGAGCCGCUCCUGUCCCUGGCCCUGGGGCCCCCUGGCUCCUGGCCUGUCUCAUUCUCACUUACGGCAUAUCUCCACUUCCAGAUGGUGCCUCUGCCCCACGCGAAGCACAUUUUUAAGGAGUGUCUGCUGAUCGGGAUGGGAGGAGGCUCAGGGCUGAUGGUGGUCACAGAGGCGGGCUGGCAGCUCCCACGCUCCACUCGGCCCAACGCCCAGCUUGGGAGGCAGCUGGGAUGAGCUGACGCAGAGAAAGCGACUUUCAAAAUGGGCCCUGCAGGGGUGAGGGUGCUCUCGGCAAGAACAUCACCCAGGCUCCCCACCCCCAAGCUGGCUUUGAUCUGUGGUUCUGGGUCAAUAAAUGAGCACCAUCCUGCUUCAUCAGGGUCACCCAUUCCCUCCAUGAGGGCUUUUGAAGACAUGAGACAUCUUGACUUCUAUUUCCCCGACACCCGUCUCUCUGCCAGACCCAGAGGGCUCGCAGGAGGCUGUACUGUCCACAACCCGGCCUUCCGCGUCGCUGCCGAACAUCCGAAGAAGGACAGAAAGGCGAUGCACGUCUGUCUCUCGCCCCAGCCAGCUGGAGGUGCUCUGUGAUGACAGUCCUGGCAGACUAAUUCAUCAGUUACCAACGUGAAGUGAACUGGUUUGCAAAACACCUGAAAAUUCAACAACUGGCUCUUUAAGGACCGGGGACAAGGAAACCUCAUCCUGCUUACUACCGCACUGCAGGUGCAAGUCCCCGGCCUGCCCUUCUCUCCUCUCCUGAGCCCAGCUCUUGUGGAUGAAGAUCUAAAGAGAAAUCUGGAUGCAGAUUCACCCUUCAUCCUUCAAGCCCCCCAGUCAGGGGUAGACCGGCUUUAGCACUUUCACCAGAAGCCCGUCUCCCCAGCAUUACUGACCCCAGCUGCUGUCCAUCUGUCUUUUGCGCUUCCGGGGUUACUUUUCAGUGUAACCAACGAGUUCAGCACUUUGGGACUCAAACAUCUGACGGAGGUGCCAGUUGAGGCUCUGCCAGCCGUGCUCCCGCCACGCACCGCACCGUACCGUCCCGGCGUCGGUUUAACCAGCCACCUGCCCGCAGGAGGACAUCAGGCCCCUGGGAAACACGAGCCGGGUUGUCACCUUCGUGUCCCCAGGACUCUGCCAUGGCACGCAGGGCCAGGUGUCCGGUGAGAGUCCCAGCACACCCGCACGCUGGCGGAGCUACAGAGGUCACGGGUGCGGGCUCAAAGGCGACACGAGGCGGCUUUUACGUGAAGCAGCACUGCUGCACGGGCAUCGCGUGGCCACCCACGUGACUCUUCUCCGCAAGGGCCGCUACUCAUCUGAAAGGGAGCGAUCUCACCAUUUGUUCAGAAACGGUGCACUUCAGAGGGACAUGCUGGGCUGUUUCCAGAACUUGUUUAAACAGACGCGAGAUGGUCGUUAGGGUCCCUGUACUGUGAAUAACCUCAGUGUCCGUCCUGGCCACCCAGCCUAUGCGUGAUGAGGACGAAGAGUGGGAGAACACACUCUGUGUGGGUGGGUGUGUGCGUGUGCUCGUGUACGCGUGUGUGUGUGCACACUCACCUCUGUGGACACGUGCGUGUUUUAUGUACAGCUAGGAAGGACCAGAACAUGCUACCAGGGCAAACCUGGGGGACCUGGGUGUCCUCUUGGCGCGCACCGGAACCCUGCCUCUGCCCCUGCUAGCAGAGGGCAUAACUCACACACCAUCUGAGAGUGGGGAUCGCUCCUGCCAAAGCAGAAUGUUAGGAUGGACAUCGCAGGCACGGGAGGACCCGGGGGUGCUGGACUCAGCCGCGAGCCCCAUUCAAAAUACUUCAGGAAAGUCUCUGACUCCAUUUAAAGGGGGACGAUAUGGGCUUCCUUGGGGGCUCAGUGGUAAAGAACUCGCGUACAGUGCCAGAGCCACGGGAGAUGCGGGUUCGAUUCCUGGGCUCUGGAGGAGGGCAUGGCAACCCACUCCAGUAUUCUUGCCUGGAGAAUCCCCAUGGACAGAGGAGCCUGGCAGGCUACCACCCACAGAGUCGAAAAGAAUCAGAUACGACUGAAGCAACUGGGCACACAGGCACAUUAUGCCUUUGGAUCACACUUUACAGAAAGGUGGAUGAACAUGAUGGAGGGUGUGCCCAGGUGUGCCCUGCACCCCCUCCGCCACAGCCACCUAAACCCCCAUCUCUCUCCC